GCGAAAGUGGCGGAAUUGGUAGACGCACUGGAUUUAGGUUCCAGCGCCGCAAGGCGUGAGAGUUCGAAUCUCUCCUUUCGCA
Molecule: transfer RNA, 82 nt
Filed under: Nevskia sp.
Lineage: Bacteria; Pseudomonadati; Pseudomonadota; Gammaproteobacteria; Nevskiales; Nevskiaceae
Also listed under: 2 other names
Description: tRNA-Leu
Rfam family: tRNA
About the family: Transfer RNA (tRNA) molecules are approximately 80 nucleotides in length. Their secondary structure includes four short double-helical elements and three loops (D, anti-codon, and T loops). Further hydrogen bonds mediate the characteristic L-shaped molecular structure. tRNAs have two regions of fundamental functional importance: the anti-codon, which is responsible for specific mRNA codon recognition, and the 3' end, to which the tRNAs corresponding amino acid is attached (by aminoacyl-tRNA synthetases). tRNAs cope with the degeneracy of the genetic code in two manners: having more than one tRNA (with a specific anti-codon) for a particular amino acid; and 'wobble' base-pairing, i.e. permitting non-standard base-pairing at the 3rd anti-codon position.
Source: RNAcentral